Molecule: long non-coding RNA, 360 nt
Filed under: Homo sapiens (human)
Lineage: Eukaryota; Metazoa; Chordata; Mammalia; Primates; Hominidae
Description: non-protein coding lnc-SNRPN-10:2
Source: RNAcentral
UUCUGUUUUAGUUUUGUUUUGGUUCUAAAAAGUUACUCUGAUAUUUCAGCUUUCCAAAUUUAUUGAGACUUAUGGUCUAGCAUAUGAUCUGUCUUGACAAAAGUUUCACAUGCACAGGAAUAUAUAUUUAAACUCAAGGUGUGCAGAUUUUGUUCAGAUAGAUAGUGUCUAGAUUUUCUAGAUUGUCAGUGAAUUUUUACAAUUGUUUUAUAAGUUACAAAGAGAAUAGUGUAAAAAAUUUCUGCUGUGAUUAUGAUUUUCUUUAUCUUUAGUUCUCUCAGUUCUUCGUGUAUUUGGAAAUAUCUUAUUGUUUAUACUUUUAUGAACAUCAUGACUGUAAUAAAUUUUAUCUUUUCCUAA